RNAcentral lists this long non-coding RNA (632 nucleotides) under Callithrix jacchus (white-tufted-ear marmoset). Its description in RNAcentral is "lncRNA (ENSCJAG00000079864.1)". Lineage: Eukaryota; Metazoa; Chordata; Mammalia; Primates; Cebidae. The record is from RNAcentral.
GUGAUUUUAUAAGGGGAAACCCCUUUCAUUUGGCUUUCAGUCUCUCCUAGCCUACUGUGAUGGAAGAUGUGGCUUUGUUCCUCCUCAGCUUCCGCCAAGAUUGUGAGGCCUCCCCAGCCAUGUGGAACUAUUUACAGACUGGAACAGACUCCCAGGAGGUCCAUUCAUCCAUUCUGCUGCCCCCUCAAAUUCAUGCUGCUCAGAGUAGGACGUGAACCACUCUGGUUAGACAUAAAGACCAAGGUAAGGAAGGUGCUAUGGCCUAAAUAUUUGUGAUCCCUGCAAAAUCCAUAUGUUGAUGUCUAAUCCCCAGUGUGAAGGAAUUAAGAGAGAUGGGGCCACUGGGAAAUGACUAGAUUGUAAAGACUUCAUCCUCAUGAAUAGAAUUCAUGCCCUCAUAAAAGAGACCCCAAAAGGCUAGAGAGCCUGUUCUACUGUAUAGGGAAGCAGAAAGAAGAUGUAAUCUAUGAGGCAGAGAGUGAGCCCUCACCAGACAUAGAUCUUAGACUUCCUAGCCUCUAGAAUGGUAAGAAGUAAAUUGCUGUUGUUUAUAAGUCACCCAGCUUAGGAAAUGUUUGUUACAGCAGCUCUAACAGACUAAGGCAGAAGAGUAUGGGGAGGGUGCAUUAUUG